GAUGAACGCUGGCGGCGUGCCUAAUACAUGCCAGUCGAGCGAACGGACGAGAAGCUUGCCUCUCUGAUGUUAGCGGCGGACGGGUGAGUAACACGUGGAUAACCUACCUAUAAGACUGGGAUAACUUCGGGAAACCGGAGCUAAUACCGGAUAAUAUUUUGAACCGCAUGGUUCAAAAGUGAAAGACGGUCUUGCUGUCACUUAUAGAUGGAUCCGCGCUGCAUUAGCUAGUUGGUAAGGUAACGGCUUACCAAGGCAACGAUGCAUAGCCGACCUGAGAGGGUGAUCGGCCACACUGGAACUGAGACACGGUCCAGACUCCUACGGGAGGCAGCAGUAGGGAAUCUUCCGCAAUGGGCGAAAGCCUGACGGAGCAACGCCGCGUGAGUGAUGAAGGUCUUCGGAUCGUAAAACUCUGUUAUUAGGGAAGAACAUAUGUGUAAGUAACUGUGCACAUCUUGACGGUACCUAAUCAGAAAGCCACGGCUAACUACGUG
RNAcentral lists this ribosomal RNA (497 nucleotides) under uncultured bacterium. RNAcentral's name for it is "partial 16S ribosomal RNA". It matches the Rfam family "Bacterial small subunit ribosomal RNA", at positions 28 to 507 of the family's 1533-position model. The record is from RNAcentral.